Molecule: long non-coding RNA, 738 nt
Organism: Stegastes partitus (bicolor damselfish)
Lineage: Eukaryota; Metazoa; Chordata; Actinopteri; Pomacentridae
Exons: 2
Source: RefSeq, a predicted model, not a curated record
GCCAACGCCUGUUUCCUCCGGCCUGGGUCGCCAGUUUCGCUAGCGACCCGGGAAAACCAGGGCUGGGCCGGAGCCAAACACGUGGACUGUGGUGUGGCGCCAGGACUCCAGGAGCUGGGUGGACUGCGUGAAAGAAGACUGCUAGGGCCUUGGCUGACUGUGGGUUGGGCGAAGGAAAUAUUAAUUGUUUUAUUAAAUGCCUUUUAUUGUGAUCCUUUGUUAUUUUAAAACUCUGCUCUUCUUGAUUUUAAGAACCUGUUUGAGUCCUAGGCUCUCUCCUAGGUGGCGUUGUCGUUUUUAGUUUUAAAAUAUUAUCAGUUUAUAAUAUAUUUAAUUAUAAAUUCUGGUUUUAUUGUUUUUAGUUGUUUUAAGCCCUAGGCCCCUGGUUUUUUUUACAUAACAAUCUAAGCAGCUGAGGAGCCCAGCACCUACUGCCUGUCAGCGUCCGUCAACCCUGUACAUAUCUAUGAAGGAAUGCAUUUUAUGCCCACCAGAUGUUCAGUGACAUCGAAUAUAAUAUAUGAGCUAUUUAAAUUAAUGUUAUGUAACAGAAAAUGCUAAUUCUGACCUUCAACGAGUCAUUGCAGUUGAAAAUUGUGGCAAAUCGUAGUUUUAAAAAGCAUUUUCAACUUAUUGCAAUGUAUUGUCAAACUAACACGUCUCUUGUGAUUGUAUAUGCAUUUUUGUUCAGAGAAGGUCCAAAAUAAACAGGUUUGACUCUUAAAAACUGACAGAAAA